UUCUCCGCACCGGGAUCCCCAGUCCCUCAGGUUCCGACAGACCCUCCUGUCAGGCCCAUUCUCCGGGCCCCCUCAGUUGCAGUGUUAAGAUCAACAGUGUUAAGAUUAAAGCCUUGUGAUGUGCUAGCCACUACGCUGAGGAUAUGCCGUGUACUAAAAUUCCUCAGGACUCCUCACAGCUGCCCUGUAAGGAAGCGGCCAUGGCCGGGUUCUAGCGAUGCGAGGCCGAGGCUCGGGGCGCUGAGUAGCCUAGCGCGUCGCCGAGGAGAGCUGGCACGUGAACCCCUUGUCGUUUGCCGUCAGAGGUGUUAUGUGGUGGCCCUCAUUCUCCAUGCAUGGAGCAGACUCUAGGAUCUGCAGUUACUGUAUGAUGAGCCCUUCUGAGUAUUUUGCUUGAGUCUCGCUGUGUCACCCAGGCUGGAGUGCAGUGGUAUGAUCUCAGCUCACUGCAACCUCCACCUACCAG
RNAcentral lists this long non-coding RNA (466 nucleotides) under Homo sapiens (human). RNAcentral describes it as "non-protein coding lnc-PPP4R1-2:2". Lineage: Eukaryota; Metazoa; Chordata; Mammalia; Primates; Hominidae. The record is from RNAcentral.